Long non-coding RNA from Wyeomyia smithii (pitcher-plant mosquito), 11040 nucleotides. RefSeq lists it as uncharacterized. NCBI's taxonomy places the organism in Eukaryota, Metazoa, Arthropoda, Insecta, Diptera, Culicidae. The record is from RefSeq and is a predicted model, not a curated record. The transcript has 2 exons.
AUAACGGCAAUGCAAAAUGAUACAACUCGUCCGUUUUGAUGUUGGCAGUUGCCUUAACGGUGAGUGUCUUGUCAUUUCUCUAAUGUAUAGGUUCGCUAGUUGCCUUAGGGCAUCUUUAGCGGUGGUCUAUUUUUGAAACAACUUUAUACUAGAUUUACACCAGCGAAACCUUAAUAGAACCAGCUUAUAUAGACCAACUUUUCGUUCUCCGCACCGGUGUUGUAUAUCUUGUUAUUUUAAACCACUGACAUCUGUCACACUGUCAACAAAUCACGAGCAACAUGUCAAAAGGUCGUAAGUAACAUUCACUGCAUUUCGAGAAAAUGAACAUUGAAAAUUGGGAUGAUGGAAUCAAAUCUUAUUUGAAAACUUUUCAUUCUUUUAAUGAAUAUACUUUAAAAAAUGAACACGAAUGAGUUGCAGAAUGGGUGCGCUUCGACAGAAUUGAGUAUUUAUUAGUUUUUAGCUGUAAAUUGAAGGAAAAUGUUACUUACGACCUUUUAUUUCUAGUCAGGCACAUUCGACAUAGAUUAUACGGUUUUUUUUGAUAGCUAGGUGAACAGAUACGACGUUUAAAAAAAUUCCUAGAUCGCAGGGAACCGUGCAGCACCGUAAACCAGCGAAGUGGAAAGCACACUUGUAUAAUUCAGCUGCUAAAUAACAUAAUUUAUUGUAAACUACCUUUCGAAAUUUGUUUAGUAUUCUUGGACACAUUCAAAUAAUCAAAGAAAAGUAAAAUAUUAGGAAUCAAUAUACGGUUUUUUAUUCAGUAUAAUCUAUAGAAUCCAGAUCUUUAUCGAAUUCAUCUUUUACUUCAUUUUGCUUAAACUUUCGCCCUCGCUUUGGAACAGCUAACGAUUGGAGGAAUGUUUUAUAAUAUUCUUUUUGACUUAUGUAUGGCAAAAGACUUCUCAAAUCCUCGAGUUUAGCAGUAGGUAGCGGAAUGGGGCUUGUUUCUAUUGGGAGCAAAUUGGUUUUUACCAUGCUAUUGAUGUCAUGAUCUGAGGGAAUUAGUCGAACAGUUUUAAAUUCCUCUGCAACAUCAUACUUUAUGGCAACGACUCCUGGACACUUUGUACUGUAACUGAACACCAUAAUUUCUUUGAAACGAAGCUUCUCUCCAGUUGUGGUCAUUUUUGGCAAGGUAUAACGAGUUUCCAAUGAUUAAAGUGCUUUGAAUUCCGAUUGAUUUAACUCUCUUACUGUAAACGGAACUGAUCGACGAACAGCCGCAAUAAAAAUCGCCCAGUCAUGUGGCGUUUCGAUGUCAAUAACAGUUUUUCUCUUAGCACAUUUUCCUGCCUUUCAGUGCUAACAUUUCGAUAUGGUAGCAAAACAUAAAUACGAUGUUUUUAUUUAAAUUUUGGCCACCACAGCGAUCGCUGUAAUAAUUGAUUGUUUUCACACAAUCAGGUACUGCCACCAAAUCUAGUAAUAAACAAGAUCCAACUUCUUGAGAGCCACGACGUGCUUUGGUUUCAUCCCAAAGAAAGCACGUUGCAGAGUUCACUCCACAAUGUGUCUCAAACAUCGUUAGGUUAAGUGUGUACAAUUGUCUGGCAUAAAAUGCUUGGCCACACGUCAAACUAGGUGUCGGCAGCUGCUUUUGCAGAUCGAAUGAUACUGUUUUCACGUCAUCUCCUAUCUUAGAUAACGCAAUAUUUUUUUUUCUCAUCAUAUACACGCUUUGCGGCAGUCUGAUGUUGCUCGUAUAUUUUUCUUGCGUUACUUUUUUCCUGUUCGUUACUUGCUGUUUUUGUAAGCAUCGUUAGACGAUCACAUUCUCCACAGGUGUCGACUUUAGGAGUCCUAAACCCUAAAUUCAUCGUUUUGAAUAUCAAGCGAUAUGUGUUAUAAGAAACAGUAUUUAGGCAAAAAUCCGCACACUUUCCCACAUACAUCUCGUACAUGAUUUGAACGUUUAGGUCAUUAGAAAGAUAUAGCCGAUUGGAGCGCUCACGAGAAUAAUGACUUGAAUAAGCUAAAAAAGAGCGAAUGUGGUUUUUGAUAAAGUUAACAUGGUCCUCAUGAAUCGGAAUUCUGUUUCGGUUGUUCACUCGUUGGUCAUCGCUUGCAAUCAUUUGACAGGAAGUUUUACGUGCCAGACCACGUAUUUUUCGAUCGCCAAUAUCAAACGUUGCAACGAACAUAGAUUUGCAAACUUUGACGGUUCCAUUAACUGCUGGCAACGAAUAAGUACGGCUGUAUCUGCGCCGAGAGUUGAUGACCUGUGAAUAAGAUUGAGCCUUAGUAGUCUCAAAACAUUAAAUACAAAAUAUUCAACUAUUCAUACCUUGGAUCUCUUUGUUUCAGUAACCGUUAUGUGGUUCGCCAAAAAUUGGUUCUGUCCAGAGAGUUUUAAUCGAAGUAAAUGUUUUAAAAGAAGGUUACGGGUUUCGACAUUAUAUUUUUCGCUGCAUUUCAGUCGACAUCUACAAGCCGGUCGUAUGCGUCUUUCUGGUACAACAGUACCAUCUUUGCGGGUGUAUUCCAUUCUCUUUUCCUUUCUGUCCCUGUUCGUCACUUUAGGAUUGCCAGUGCGGGUCUUAAGUACAGUCGCUUCCUUGUCUAGAUCAUCCAAGUAAUGAGCACUAAUGUUUGCUUCUUCAUCAUCACUAAUCUUAUAUGGCUCAAAAUAUUCAAAAAUAGAAAAAUCGUUUAAUAAUAUAGUAUCACCAUCUUCAACGCUAUCAUCAUCAAUCAUUCCUUCAUCAGAAUGUAUAUUGUCAGCCUUUUCCCUUGUUACAGGAGCUGUUUGUUUCAUACACAAAUCUAUGGGUUCAUCGCAACCACAUUUAUCGUCCUUGGGCUCGAGUUCUAAGUUGUUUCCAUCCACUAGGAGGCUUGCAGAAAAAUCCAACGUACUGGCAAAUGACAAAUCUAUAGUUUCAUUGCGGAUGGGAGUCGAUGUUACAACCUUCUUUUUUUUUUAAUCGGCUCUUCAUGGCCAGAUAGAUAAUUGCAAUUUUCACAACAGUUCAUCGGACGAUCGCAGUUUGUGCUAUUUAAAAUUUGUUGUGGAGGUGCUCGAUCUAAAAAAUUACCAAUGAUUAGAAUAAGUAGACAAGCUGAAAAAUGAAUACUACCUGCCAACGAACGUUUUUUAUUACUUAAAGAAGACAGCGCGGAACAAAUAUCUUUACCGUUAGCGGUGUUUACAGUAUACGUUUGAGUUUCGCUGAUACGCAGCUGGGAACAAUUGGAUAAACGUAAAGGUAGGCUGGGUGACGAAAGGUUUUCCGAAUGACUCGAAAGUGAUUUAGUCGACUCAAAGUCUGUUGCCACUUCCUCAUAACAAGCUACAGUAGGUACCUUCUCCAAAACGGGAAAUUGUGUGCUUGAACCAAAAAGAUUCAGAAGCGCAUCAGCAGCAGCUAGAAAAUAAUCAUAACUUACCACUAAAAUAUUAGUCAUUCAUACAGUAAAUCCUUACCCAGCAAUGCUUCAAAUCGGGCAAAUUCCAUUUUUCUAGCCUAUUUGUUUCACGCGCUAACUUAUUUCAACUGCAAAAAACUUCGUUUUACGUAAAACACCAAAUGACGCAAGAGAAAAUAUGGUUGCUAUGAUCGACAAAUGCACAUUCGACCUACGAAAAUCAAAAGGUCGUAAGAAACAAAAGUGUUUGUUUACGAAAUAAAUACUAAUUCGUCGUUUUGAAAAUUUGCCAAAUAGGUGCUUUAAGUAAAAUUAAACGCUGUGACAGCAUUUUUAGUGCAUAGUAAAGGAAAAAUAACGUUGUUUGGUAUAUUUAUCGCGAUUUGUUUACAUUUGUUACUUACGACCUUUAGACAUGUUGCUCGUGAAAUGCUAUCAGUUUAUGAGACUUGUUGUAAUAAAAAGCACUCAAUAUAUAACAAACGGAAAUUCGAUAAUUUUUACACCCAUUAAACGAUUACUUUGACAAGACACUUUAUAUUUACAAGACUUUAUAUAUUUGACGGUUUGACCCGAGCGUCAGUGACAUUUCUCAGGAUGGAUUGGUAUGAUCGAAAAAUUUCUGCUACAAGUAGGGCUUCGGUGGAUAGCGAAAAAUAUUUGAUCGCGUAGAUUUCAUCUUCCGUUUUCGUCUCAUCAAUCUUUCAGAAUCUUGCAGUUCUUCAAACUUGGGUUCGGUUUUGAGGAUAUUGAAACAAGCCUGCAUUUUGAACGUUGUCAGUUCAGUAUCUUCGAGGAACAUUUUGCUGGCCUCUUGAGGUCUCAUCUAGUGCCACUACAAUUAAGACGAUUAACGAAUAGCCAACAUAUUUGUCAUCCUGGUGCCUGAUGGCUGAAAACCAAGUAGUUGAACCCACGGUUAUGGUCUUCUAGAAUUCCCCUAGUCGGUUCCCUUGAAGCCAAAAACGACAAACCUGUUCAUUCCUCUUCAGAAAAGCCACAAUUGAAUUGUGAAUUGUCAUGAAAAAACUUUGUUUUGUUUAUUCCCCAACACUCGCAAAACGCUUAUAUGGAAAUUGUUGAAAAUGAGGUAUUCGAUUAAAAUAUGACAUUUUACCCACCUAUUGGUAGCGUCCAAAGGUUCUGGAACAAUCUAUUUCUUGUUCCAAAAAGUGACAAAAAUAGACCAAAACGUACAGUCCCUCUAAAAUUAUGGGUCAGUCAACGUGUUGUUUGAAUGUUCAAAAAUGGAUAUAAAAUCGGAAAAGUUAUCAACUACGAAUGUUUUACUAUCUAUCUCUGUGUUCUGAUGUGUACUUUUGAUCAACAAUUAGUUUCACUGCAGUUGAUGCGUGUAAAUAGGUUGGGAAGAAAAAUAUCACUUACACUUAACAAGAGACACAAUUAUGGGUCACUUUUGGCAUUCAAAAUCAUUUAAUCUAUAAAAUCGUCAAAAUACAAAACGUAAGUUAUUUGAUUGUAAAAGCUUAGUAAUAAGUUAUUUUAUUCAUUCUUGAUGAAUUAUCAUGUAAAAGUAAUAAAAUUAGCCAAAAUAUAGACUGACCCACAAUUGUGCACCGCAAAAUGUAACAUUACUACAAUUAUGGGUCACUUCACUUAUUGCUUCGAGCAGAAUUAUAGUUUUAGUGACAUUUUCAACUUUAAAUCAUUUUAAUCGUAUAAUUGAAGUUACAAGUGAGUUAUAAAAAAUACCACUGCUAAAAGUGACCCAUAAUUGUAGCUUACCCAUAACUGUGGAGGCACUGUAGUUUCAAUAUUUUUUCAAUUUAGAUCUGGUAUAAAACAAAAUUACACCACCGGUGCAGCAGUGAAUUUGAGUUUGUUCCAAAAAAAAAAUAGAACAAAACAACGAUUUGGACCACUGCUGAAGAUGCCCUUACGAUUCCCAGUUAAAAAAGAAACAAACGUCAACGAUCAAAACGAACGGGGGCCACGUAAAUUGAGAACAUCAAAAGAUGAUGCUGCUCUUUGUUGGUUUCGCGGUUAACUUUCUAGUUUGGCCUUCUAGUUUGGAAUCUAAUAGGGUCAGAAUUCAUGAAACGGAUCACUAAGAAUCGCGAUGUCUAAUUUUUUCAAAUAAGUAUUAAAAACUUGAAGAGUUUCACUCGGGAAGUUGAUUUUCCAAUUUUCAUUGAAUUUGAGUAAGUUUACAAGUUGUCAUUGUCAUUUGAAAUUUAGGUCAAAAUUGUUUUUAAACAGACAUAGCUUUAAAAAUAUUGCAUCGAAUUUGAUGAAAUUUUCACAGUAGAUGCAGCCUAAGUUGUAGUUUACGAAAAUAAUUUUUUAGGAGAAAAAAAAAUUUCAAUAGUAACUAAUUAAAACAAUAUGUUGAAAAUCUAUGUUCUGGGGCACUGAAAAAUCUAAAAAAAUCACAAGUAUUUUUGACGAAAUUUCAAAACCGCCCUGAAAAUUUCACGGUGGUGAUAUUUUUUGAUCAAAAGAUAUGGGCCUUCAAAGUUGGUGCCAAGCGCAUUUUCAAGCGAGAAGCGAGUGAGCAGUACUACUAUUGACAAUCCCAGUUUCAGUUAUAUGCAAAAAUUCUGUAAGGUUUGUAAAACUAGUUUAAUAGAAAUGAUUUUUAGUCGCAAAAUAGUCAAAAUAUGCUUAGUCUGUUACCCAAGUUAAUGAUGAAGACAGUAUAUUUUAUGCCCCUUACAACUCGCAAGCCUACCUACACAUUUUACUAUAAAAUAAUGCAAAAUUUAGUUAGGGGACAACCGUACAGAACGCAUCAGCGGGUUAAGAUCGCCCGUGCUAUUACUUUUAGCCAUUAUGGUGCACUUUUUGGUAUGAGAACUGAAGAAAACUUGGUUUAGGAGCAUUUCUCGCUUGAAGAACGCGUUGCGGCACUAACUUUGAAGGCCCAUAUCUUUUGAUCAAAAAAUAUCACCACCGCGAAAUUUUCAGGGCAGUUUCGAAAUUUCGUCAAAAAUACUUGUGAUUUUUUUCAGAUUUUUCAGUGCCCCAGAACAUAGAUUUUCAACAUAUUGUUUUAAAUAGUUACUAUUGAGAAAAAUAUUUUUUUCUUCAAAAAAAAUAUUUUCGUAAACUACAACUCAGGAUGCAUCUGCUGUGAAAAUUUCAUCAAAUUCGAUGCAAUAAUUUUAAAGCUUUGUCUAUUUAAAAACAAUUUUGACCUAAAUUUCAAAUGACAAUAACAACUUGUAAACUUACUCAAAUUCAAUAAAAAUUGGAAAAUCAACUUCUCGAGUGAAACUCUUGAAGUUUUUAAUACUUAUUUGAAAUAAUUAGACAUCGCGAUUUUUAGUGAUCCGUUUCACGAAUUCUGACCCAAUAGCAACACGAAUAGAACUUUCUGACUGGCAAUCAACUUGAAAAUUCAAGAAAGAAGAAGAAGAAGAAUUAAGAAAUUGUCGCGAAGCAGCAUUACCCUGUUGUUCAUCGAUAUCCCCCUCGAUGUUUAUCUACGUUUAAAAUGACAUCCCAGUUAGCGAGCCGAUUUCGAUAACUGGGAAGUGCUGUUCGCCCAGUUAUCGUAUUAACAAAUUCCUGACAGCUCAAAAACUCAUUUUCCUUUUUGAAAGCUUAUAAUGCAAGCUUAAUUUGAGGAUUUUUCGAGGAUUAUCCGAAAAACGGUACAAAAUGGUCAAAAGACGGGACGGCUGAAAAUGGUCGAAAAAAUGUUACUGUCCCGUUCAAAACGGUACAUCUGGGCUGCCUAAAAAUGGCGAAAUACCCUCAAAACGAUUAUGUUCGGAGCCAUAUCAAGAGCACACUUACAUUUAAUCACCGAAUUCGUUUUUUAAUUCACCGACUUUGCAACAGCUGAGCGCUCGGUAAAACGUUCGGUAAUAUAAACCACUACCGACCGAUCAGUAAUUAAAUUGUUGUUGCUUUCUGUCAUUACUACCGACCUAAUUUGUGAAAACAGCGAAUGCGGUUAUUGCCAAAACCACCGAUCAAAUCUGUAAGUUGUGUAAGACAGUACCGAAAGAUCUGUGAUGUGUGUUAUUUGUUUACCUUCAAUUAUUAAAGAAAACCAGAACUAUUGAAAACUAAAAAAAAAUAAAAACCGACGUUCGCCGCACCGAAUUUGUACGAGUGAAAAUCAAUUCAACGUUUUUUACUGCUGUGGACUGUGCAUGAACUUCAUGUCAGUUGUGCUCAUAGUUUCAAAGCCGAGGAUCUUCCGGAUGUGUCCAUUAACAACAGAUGCUCGGAGGUAGAAGCAAAUAAUGUGAUGGUUUGAUGCUUAAAAUAUUUACAAAUUUUAUCAUCAUAUACUUACGUAAAUUUGUUAUAUGCGAUCAUAUUCUUGCUAAAGUUAUUGGAAAACGUCCUCCAUUUUCUUUUUUUGCAGGAACUUCAAUGUUCAAACGGAACCGAGAUCUCAAACUUACCGAUCGAAAUUGUAAUAAUAAUUACCGAACUUUUAUUAUACGAUUGAGUGUGAGGCUUUCGGAAAGAUGGCAAAAAGUUGCAGAUUAGGUGCGAUUUUGACAUUCAAGAUGGUAACUUUCGGUUUGGAAAACAACCAAAGAUGACUAACACCCUACUCAAUAUGAGUAUUUCUGCAAUCGGGUUGAUGGGAAAAUCGACGCCAUUUCGGUUCAUUUAAGGGCCACCAAAUCAUUUGCAGAGUUUUCUUUUAGUAUUAGAUACAGUUUGUUGACAUAAAUAUAAAGCUUGUUUCAAACUUAUCACUUGCGAUCACUCUCGAAUGCAGAGAAACAUUUACGAUAACAAGCAGACAGAAAUUUUCGGAAAACAAUUGUUACCGAUAGUGUGUUAGAGCUUUCGUUCCCGUAAUAUUUCUGCCGCCCAAUAUCGACAGAAGAGAUCUCGUUAAGUAUCCUUAUAAUCCAUUUGAUGUUCAACAUUGAAUUUUUGAGGACCAACCCAUAAAAAGCGGACUUCGAGCUUCGGGAGUUUAUGUUUGCUUGCCUUGUUAUUCAGCCUGACUUUGAUCAGGUUUAGAAUCUUAAACUAACAGAAAAUACCCAAAAAAAAUUAGAUGGAAUUCUUUUUUUUUUUUUAUACCCGCAUAAUUAAUUGCUUGAAUUAAUUUCUGAUCACUUCAUCAAAUAAUAAGGUUAUUCGGUUCAACUGUGAAGCUAAACUGGAAAUCUUCAAGAAAAGAUAUUUAUUUCGACUGAAUCAUUAAAGAAAACUUAUUUCCUUAGCAAUUUUUGGCCUAUCCUUUAACACGCUUUUUUACAGAUCGAUACUAGUCUUUGAGGUGGAAAUGGGAAUCAAUAUUUCUAAAAGUCAUUAAGUUCAUUGAUCUUUGACAUUGUUUUGCGGAUUAUUACCUAGUUCUACUCCUAUUUUCCAGUUUAUUACAAAAUACUGUUGCCUGCGUACCUAAAAAUUACGCAUAGGUUAUGCAAGUUUCAUAUUACAUUUAUUGUUAUGUUACGUUAACAGUUUUAUAUAAUAUAUCGUUUCAACAUUACAGUGUUGCGCUGUUAUAACCAAGUUGUGCAAUGUUAUAGUAACCUGUAUGUUGCUGUUACGUAACGAAUAAUAGUUUUGAAAAGAGUGGAAAACAGGAACGUCACUGCAACUAUUAGUAGGGAAAUGUAAAAUACACAACCAACUCGGGCUGCGAUUUAUUCGUCAAUUUGUGUGGAAUGCCUCGACUUUAAAAACUUCGCUCUUCUGUGGGCUUAUGUGCAGUUAUACAACAUCCAUUAUAUUUGUCGACUUUUUGUAAUGACACAAAUGUGUAGGACAACGUAGCGAACAAUGUUAUGUACGAAUAUCAGAUCCUACUUGUGACUAUUAGUAGAUUUUCUUUUAUUAUUCUCUACUACUAAGCACGUAAUUUCCUUCUUUCUAAGCACAAAAAAACUACUAGAAUUGGAAACACGCUUUCCACUACCCUUGCAGGUGAAAUUGGGGGCAAUGAAGUUACUUUUGCUUCAGAAACACCACAGUAGCAGUUAACAAAUGACAAAUUGAACAACGUGUACAUAGUAGAGUUCAAAAUUUAUAGGUACCUAAGUGAACGAGCUGCGGACUGUUAGCAUAGAGAAAAGACUACCAUAUUAGAGUAUACUAGAUUUUAUGCAUGAAUGUGUACAAAAUGUCUGUUACAUAAUAAUCGUCCGGUUAAAUCGGUGGAAACAGUUAAAAAAAUGGUUUAUGUUCGCGAUUUGGUGUCUACUCUCUGUGCUUGUUCGGCAGAAGCUUACAUACAAAAAAAAAACUACAAAUACCUGUCUGCUUCUGACGAAGACGAUAUUACAGUAUUGUCGAAGAUACUAUCUGAUAAACAAUGAAAUUCUAAAAUAGCUGUGUAAGGUAAAGCAGUAUUACUAAUAAUGACCUAGGAAUUCAGUUUUUAGUUGGCGAACACACACACAAGACGAAAAAACCCACUGUAAAAAAAACACAAGGAAGAAGAAAGAAAUAGUUUCAAACUUAUAUGAUUUGCCAAACUAAUGGGAAACAUAACUCGCUCUCUUAGGUUUAAAGCAGAUAACAGUUAAGAAGUCCGUCAUUCUCAAUAAUUUGCUUUGUCAAUAUAGUCAUCGUUCAGUUCCUUAUUAUAUACAAACGACGAGGACACGAGCAUCAGCCGAUCGCCUCCAGAUAGUAGUUUCAGGCCUAAAACACUGAUUUUAUAUAAUGAACGUUCAAAGAAUAGGUAUUCAACGUGCAAAGAUAUUAUAUAUUAUUACUAAAAACUCUGUGGAAAUAAUUUCAAUGUCAUUGAGCUGUAUGUGUGAUCGAAUUGGAUGAAUGUUGUUAACUGUCGGUGGUUUAAAUGUGAUCAAAAUGAAAACUAGACAAACAAACAAAAAAAAACAACAUACACUAGAAUAUGUACGGCUUUUACUAGCUCGGUAGCCAAUUUUAGUUGCAUUCUUCAACUUUUUACUCAGAAAGUUAGAAUAGCUUUUGAACAACCAACACGUACACACUUUCGGACCAAACGGGGCACUUUUAGAAGAUAAAAUACACACACUUGAACAGAUAGGAUAUUCCGAACAGCAAUUUUAUUUUAACGUUGGUAUUUUUCUUCCAUCUAGCUGUAGCAAUCAUUUCAAAACAGCAAACCAGUCGAUAAAACAAGCAUGUAAAAAUAAAGAUCUAGUAGUAAAAUUUUGGAUUCCUUUUCAAAACAUUUGGUAAAAAAAUGAAUAUUUGGCUUUAAUCCCAAACAUGAUGAUAGCAAACUAGAGCUGUUUUAGUGAGUAGUCAGAUCGAUAAAUUGUCCAUCAAUUAGCUACACACUUAACGCUGAAAUGGCGAAACGACGUAGCAUAAAUCUAAAGUUUAGAUCCAUAAUUAACUAAUUAACUAUACAAAAGAUAAUUAUGCCAUUAUCAACUAGCGAUAAAACUACAUGACGCAUGCAGGUAUUCGAAAUAUGCGCUUAAUCCUAACAUUCUACUCACACUUGCACGUCGAUAUAUAAUGCAAAAAACAACGCUGUGUAGAGGCAAAAACACUGUUCAUUCAAAAAUUUACUACAUUUAUAGGAACGAAAAAAGCCGAUAUGUGAUUGCAAAUUCAAGUCUAAGAUCAUUUAAUGUAUAAUUUGCAGCUACGAUUCUAGAAAAAUUAAAAUAAUGAAAAAACUGACAACUGUACGCCGUAUGAUCACUGUCUCAUUUGUUAAUGGAAUUGUCUAAUAAAAUUGAAUAUCAAGAAAGUUGCGCAAUUUAUAGAAAA